Molecule: ribosomal RNA, 339 nt
Filed under: Funaria hygrometrica
Lineage: Eukaryota; Viridiplantae; Streptophyta; Bryopsida; Funariales; Funariaceae
Description: eukaryotic LSU rRNA
Rfam family: Eukaryotic large subunit ribosomal RNA
Source: RNAcentral
GCGAUCCAGGAGACCUCUGAUCAGGAAAGUCUACCCGCUGAGUUUAAGCAUAUCACUAAGCGGAGGAGAAGAAACUAACCAGGAUUUCCCUAGUAACGGCGAGCGAACCGGAAAGAGCCCAGCUUGAAAAUCGGGGUGCUUCGUGCCCCGAAUUGUAGUCUGGAGAAGCGUCCUCUGCAGCGGGUCGGCCCCAAGUUCCCUGGAAUGGGAUGCCCAAGAGGGUGACAGCCCCGUCGAGGCCGGUCCCUGCUGCUCCACGAGGCGCGAUCUGCGAGUCGGGCUGUUUGGGAAUGCAGCCCUAAGUGGGUGGUAAAUUCCAUCUAAGGCUAAAUAUUGGCA